Molecule: long non-coding RNA, 303 nt
Filed under: Elaeis guineensis (African oil palm)
Lineage: Eukaryota; Viridiplantae; Streptophyta; Magnoliopsida; Arecales; Arecaceae
Description: long non-coding RNA (EGUI_LNC057936)
Source: RNAcentral
GGGUAACGGGUAGCUAUCCUUUGAGCAUGCUUUAUUUAGAUUGAUAAAGUAUAUGCAAAUCUACCACUUCCUAUUUACCUUCUUCACAAAGACCAUGUUUGCUAUAUAGUCUAGGUAGAUCACCUCCCUGAUGAACUCCGCAUUAAGGAGCUUAUCAACCUCUUCAACGAUUGCCUUCUACCAUUCUGGGGUGAAGCUGCACUUCUUUUGCUUAAUUGAUCGAUAUGCAGAAUCCACAUUUAGUGGAUGCACCAUCACCUCAAGGGUCUAUGCUUGACAUGUCAGUGGCCAAUCAAGUGAAGA